GAAACACCUGAACUCAACGUGUCCACAUACUUUUGUCCAUAUAUGUAUGACGACAUUCAACCUGACCUCAAAAAUAGAACUAAACUAAAACAGAUUUCAUGUAGAUCUGGAGGAUUAUUCCAACAUCCCAGGAAGCUCAAAAUCCACAACAUGGUCUGUGAAGUUCUGAACUCCAGGAGCAAUGACUGGAACGACCCAGAUAUGUUUUACCUCUGUCGUCAUUUCAUUUUUCAUCCUAAAAAAAAAAAAAAAAAAGUCCCAAACAAAAAGAAAAGCACCGAAAAAAUGGAAAAGCACAAACAUGUCUGCUGUCACUCCUGCUUUAGGUGCAUUUAAAAGGUCAGAUAUGAGGACCGACCUGAUGUAAAGCAGUAUUUUGUGAAGUAAUCAACAGAUGAUGUAGUUUUUAUUUUAAUAGAUGAUGUUUGUUUUCCACAGACGUCAUGUGACAGAUUGUGAUGGUGUGAAAAUGUCAAAUGCUUCAGAUACAGGGGAUAAUUAGGAUAAGAAGUUUGUUUUUGUGUUUGUUUUUUCUCCCAGGUCCAUCUUCUUCCAUUAUUUCCAUGUUGUUUGAACCAUGUCAGUGUCUUCUAGUAUUUACUUUUUCUUUUUUCUUCACUGCUCUUGCUGUGGCCCUGGAGCGGUGGAGCAGUGCUGUGCCUUAGCUGUGCUCCUGUUUUUAGGAAAACCUUCUCUGAAAGCAUCAAAAACUGUCUCCAAUGUCCAAAAACCAAAAAAAAAAAAGAUGAAAGAAUGGUUGUGAAUGCCUUAUACAUGAUUUUAGUGGUUUUGAAGAACAUUUUUGGAAAUAAAAACAGACUCUCAUU
Long non-coding RNA from Sphaeramia orbicularis (orbiculate cardinalfish), 827 nucleotides. RefSeq lists it as uncharacterized. The transcript is spliced from 2 exons. The record is from RefSeq and is a predicted model, not a curated record. Lineage: Eukaryota; Metazoa; Chordata; Actinopteri; Kurtiformes; Apogonidae.